CCCCCCCUUAAAAGAUUUAGAUGCACUAUUGUAAAGUGGUUAUUCCACUGGAUAUCAUAAGGUGAAUGCACCAUUUUGUAAGUCGCUCUGGAUAAGAGCGUCUGCUAAAUGACUUAAAUGUAAAUGUAAAAAUGUAAUUUUAACUGACUACAGAGGCCGACCCAAAACAACGCCGCUGAAGAAGAGGGAGAUGGAGUGUAAUUCUGGUCAGACUUCGGAGGCACGGACACCACCCACUGCUUCCGAGUAUAUUACUGGCUAAACAAAAGGAACUUAAGUCCUUUUGUUCACCGGACCUAGAAUUCCUCACAAUCAAAUUCUGACUAUAUUAUCUUCCAAGAGAAUUCUCUUUAAUUAUUGUCACAGCCGUGUAUAUGCCCCCUCCAGCCGAUACCACGACAGCCCUCAAGGAACUUCACUGGACUUUAUGCAAACUGGAAACCAUAUAUCCUGUUCCGGGUAGCCUCAGAGAAUAAUACAGACGAAUACAUAUACAUUGAUUCGGUGAGUGAGUUUAUAAGGAAGUGUAUAGGAGAUGUUGUACUGUGACUAUUAAAACCUACUCUAACCAGAAACCGUGGAUAGAUGGCGGCAUUCGCGCAAAACUGAAAGUGCGAACCACCGCAUUUAACCAUGGAAAGGUGACUGGGAAUAUGACCGAACACAAACAGUGAAGUUAUUCCCUCCGCAAGGCAAUCAAACAAGCGAAAUGUCAGUACAGAGACAAAGUGGAGUCGCAAUUCAACGGCUCAGACACGAGAUGUAUGUGGCAGGGUCUACAGACAAUCACGGACUACAAAAGUAAAACCAGACAUGUCACGGACACCAACGUCUUGCUUCCAGACAAACUAAACACCUUCUUUGCCUGCUUUGAGGAUAAUACAGUGCCACCGACACGUCCCGCUACCAAGGACUCCACAGUCCUCUCCUUCUUCGUGGCCGACUCUGCUGUCCCCACAUGCUUCAAGACGGCCACCACUGUUCCUGUACCCAAGAAUGCAAAGGUCCACAGACGAUGCAAUCGCCAUCACACUGAACACUGCCCUAUCCCAUCUGGACAAGAGGAAUACCUAUGUAAGAAUGCUAUUCAUUGACUAUAGCUCAGAUUUCAACACCAUAGUACACUCCAAGCUCAUCACUAAGCUUGAGGCCCUGGGUCUCAACCCCACCCUGUGCAAUUGGGUCCUGGACUUCCUGACGGGCCGCCCCCAGGUGGUGAAGGUAGGAAACAUCUCCACUUCACUGAUCCUCAACACUGGGGCCCCACAAUGGUUCCUGUACUACCUGUUCACCCAUGACUGCGUGGCCAUGCACGCCUCCAACUCAAUCAUCAAGUUUGCAGACGACACAACAGUAGUAGGCUUGAUUACCAACAAUGACGAGACAACCUACAGGGAGAAGGUGAGGGCUCUCGGAGUGUGGUGUCAGGAAAAUAACCUCUCACUCAACGUCAACAAAACAUAAGAGAUGGUCGUGAACUUCAGGAAACAGCAGAGGGAGCAGCCCCCAUCUACAUCGACAGGACAGCAGUGGAGAAAGUGGAAAGUUUUAAGUUCCUCGGCGUACACAUCACGGACAAUCUGAAAUGGCUCACCCACACAGACUGUGUGGUGUAGAAGGCGCAACAGCGCCUCUUCAACUUCAGGAGGCUGAAGAAAUUUGGCUUGUCACCUAAAACCCUCACAAACUUUCCCCAGCUGUACAAUUGAGAGCAUCCUGUCUGGCUGUAUCACCGCCUGGUACGACAACUGCACCACCCACAACCACAGGGAUCUCCAGAGGGUGGUGUGGUCUGCACAACGCAUCACCAGGGGCAAACUACCUGCCCUCCAGGACUCCUACAGCACCCGAUGUCACAGGAAGGUCAAAAAGAUCAUCAAGGACAACAACCACCCGAGCCACUGCCUGUUCACCCCGCUACCAUCCAGAAGGCGAGGUCAGUACAGGUGCAUCAACGCUGGGACCGUGAGACUGAAAAACAGCUUCUAUCUCAAGGCCAUCAGACUGUUAAACAGCCAUCACUAGCACAGAGAGGCUGCUGCCACUUGAAUAAAUGGAACACUAGUCACUAUUAAAGUGCCACUUUAAUAAUGUUUACAUAUCUUGCAUUAGUCAUCUCAUAUGUAUAUACUGUAUUCUAUAUUAUCUAUUGUAUCUUAGCCUAUGCUGCUCUGUCAUUGCUCAUCCAUAUAUUUAUAUUUAUAUAUUCUUAUUCCAUUCCUUUACUUAGGUAUUGUGUGUUAGGUAUUUAUUUUGGAAUUGUUAGAUAUUACUUGUUAGAUAUUGCUGCACUGUUUGAACUAGAAGCACAAGCAUUUUGCUACACAAACAAUAACAUCUGCUAACCAUGUGUAUGUGACCAAUACAAUUUGAUUUGAUUUUGACAAGGUUCAUCCGUCUACAACAGCAACACGUGCAAAACGACUACGCAAAACAUGCCACGGCUUUGAAAAUAGAAUUCAGUGGUUCUGUGACUCGCAAACACGACAGCUCGCCG
Molecule: long non-coding RNA, 2497 nt
Filed under: Salmo salar (Atlantic salmon)
Lineage: Eukaryota; Metazoa; Chordata; Actinopteri; Salmoniformes; Salmonidae
Description: lncRNA (ENSSSAG00000102314.1)
Rfam family: UnaL2 LINE 3' element (bases 65-118)
Source: RNAcentral